This 656-nucleotide long non-coding RNA is filed under the name Triticum aestivum (bread wheat). RNAcentral describes it as "long non-coding RNA (TAES_LNC025109)". Lineage: Eukaryota; Viridiplantae; Streptophyta; Magnoliopsida; Poales; Poaceae. The record is from RNAcentral.
GGAAAUAGAAUAAACGGGAAAUCAGUACACAGCUUCAGUUUCUACAAAAAACAAAAAGAGAAAUGCAUUACAAAUACAGGACUGUAAUAGUGCAUUGGAGAAAAUUUGGCAACCAAUAGAGAAGAUAACAAAAUAAAGUGUAGAGAGAGAUCAAUAUCAAAAAAGGACUAACCAUGUUUCUUCUUCCAGCACAUGAUAACUUCCUCUUCAAACAUUUCACUUUCUGAAAAAAUUAGGAUGACAACAAUUUAUAAGCCAUCAGAAAAAAAACACUUAAAGUUAAACCAACAAAAACAAAAACACAUACAUGAUCCAUAUAGAAGUCAAAUAGAGAUUUGUCAAGCCCUCCUAGAGACUUCCUGAAAUAAAGUUAAAGUGAACAUACACAUAAAUUUAAAAAUGAAAAGAAAUAGUUCAAAUUAAUUAAAACUAGGGAAGAAAAAGAAAUAAAUACCAAAGACAUAGGAUUAGAACCAUCAUCGCAAAAUCGUUAGGCACAAACGGAUCAUUCAGAGAAUCUGCACUCUCAAGAGAGAGACUAGUGGUACACCCUUGUGAGAAACUUUCCGCAGCCGCCCCAUUGAAGCAAACCUAAAAUAAAAAAGGCAAAUGAAGCAGAACCAACACAAACACUACAAACAACAAUCCCCAAACCU